Molecule: ribosomal RNA, 443 nt
Filed under: uncultured bacterium
Lineage: Bacteria
Description: SSU rRNA
Rfam family: Bacterial small subunit ribosomal RNA
Source: RNAcentral
AGAGCGAACGCUGGCGGCAGGCCUAAUACAUGCAAGUCGAACGCACCUUCGGGUGAGUGGCGGACGGGUGAGUAACACGUGGGAACGUGCCCUUUGGUUCGGAAUAAUCCGGGGAAACCUGGCCUAAUACCGGAUGAGCCCUUCGGGGGAAAGAUUUAUCGCCAUUGGAGCGGCCCGCGUCUGAUUAGCUAGUUGGUGGGGUAAAGGCCCACCAAGGCUACGAUCAGUAGCUGGUCUGAGAGGAUGAUCAGCCACACUGGGACUGAGACACGGCCCAGACUCCUACGGGAGGCAGCAGUAGGGAAUCUUGCGCAAUGGGGGAAACCCUGACGCAGCCAUGCCGCGUGAAUGAUGAAGGUCUUAGGAUUGUAAAAUUCUUUCAGCGGGGAAGAUAAUGACUGUACCGCAGAAGAAGCUCCGGCUAACUUCGUGCCAGCAGCCGC